CCUACGGGAGGCAGCAGUGAGGAAUAUUGGUCAAUGGACGCAAGUCUGAACCAGCCAUGCCGCGUGCAGGAAGACGGCUCUAUGAGUUGUAAACUUCUUUUGUACGAGGGUAAACUCAGACACGCGUAUCUGUCUGAAAGUAUCUUACGAAUAAGGAUCGGCUAACUCCGUGCCAGCAGCCGCGGUAAUACGGAGGAUUCAAGCGUUAUCCGGAUUUAUUGGGUUUAAAGGGUGCGUAGGCGGUCGGGUAAGUUAGAGGUGAAAUCCCGAGGCUCAACCUCGGAAUUGCCUCUGAUACUGUUCGUCUAGAGAGUAGUUGCGGUAGGCGGAAUGUAUGGUGUAGCGGUGAAAUGCUUAGAGAUCAUACAGAACACCGAUUGCGAAGGCAGCAUACCAAGCUACUUCUGACGUUGAGGCACGAAAGCGUGGGGAGCAAACAGGAUUAGAUACCCGAGUAGUC
This 460-nucleotide ribosomal RNA is filed under the name uncultured bacterium. RNAcentral's name for it is "partial 16S ribosomal RNA". It matches the Rfam family "Bacterial small subunit ribosomal RNA", at positions 338 to 795 of the family's 1533-position model. The record is from RNAcentral.